AGGGUCAGCUCAGUGCGGCGAGGAGCAGGAGGCAGGGCGGGUGUCACCAGGACUCUCUCUCCCUCGAACCUGUUUAUUCAAACCUGAAGAUAAGUCAGAACAAAAAAAGACACUUCAUUUCAGCUCCCUUCUGCUACAGGACAAAUUCACAAGAUCAGGAAGAGGCACCUACGCCUAGUGAGAGUGUUUGCAAAACCACUUAGCACUACAAACAAGAGGGCACCAAAGGCAGGGCUCCUGUGCUCCUGUUUGCAGAGGUGUGGGCCAGAUUGUGCCCCCUUGCUACAUCCCCGAUGAGCAGGCAGAGCCUUCAGCUGCAGAAGGCAAACCUGUCCUUCCUUUAGAGUCCAUUCCUCCCUCCUCUGUGGGAGUUCAUCCCUUCGACUGCCAGGGUGAAAAGGAUUGUAAAUGGAAAAAUCUGCUGAACCCUGUGCUCAAUCCAAAAUUGUCUAUGUCCAUGGGAAACAUUUUGUUGAUGACUCUGGACUUCCUGUCAGACUUUCACUGUGUCUGAAGUGACAAGUCUCACCUGUUCACCAUUACCGCUUUGAUAUCAUUCCAGUUUUGUAUGACUGAAGAUUAUCCUGAUACAAUAAGCAAGUCUUUCUAUAAAGAGGCUAACCCUUGCCCUCCUUGACAAAGCAAACAUUCUUAAAAAGGCAGUGGUAUCAUUGU
This is a long non-coding RNA of Pipra filicauda (Wire-tailed manakin), 675 nucleotides long. RefSeq lists it as uncharacterized. Lineage: Eukaryota; Metazoa; Chordata; Aves; Passeriformes; Pipridae. The record is from RefSeq and is a predicted model, not a curated record. The transcript has 3 exons.